GAUGAACGCUAGCGAUAGGCCUAACACAUGCAAGUCGCGGGGCAGCACAUGAGUAGCAAUACGAUGGUGGCGACCGGCGCACGGGUGAGUAACACGUAUGCAACCUACCUUUAACAGGGGAAUAACCCGUUGAAAAACGGACUAAUACUCCAUAACACAGGGGCCCCGCAUGGGAAUAUGUGUUAAAGAUUUAUCGGUUGAACAUGGGCAUGCGUUACAUUAGCUUGUUUGUGAGGUAACGGCUCACCAAGGCCACGCUGGAUAGGGGAACUGAGAGGUUUAUCCCCCACACUGGAACUGAGACACGGUCCAGACUCCUACGGGAGGCAGCAGUGAGGAAUAUUGGUCAAUGGAGGCAACUCUGAACCAGCCAAGUCGCGUGAAGGAUGAAGGUCUUAUGGAUUGUAAACUUCUUUUGCAAGGGAAUAAAGUGGGGGACGUGUCCUCCUUUGCAUGUACCUUGCGAAUAAGGAUCGGCUAACUCCGUGCCAGCCGCCGCGGUAA
This 504-nucleotide ribosomal RNA is filed under the name uncultured bacterium. RNAcentral's name for it is "partial 16S ribosomal RNA". It matches the Rfam family "Bacterial small subunit ribosomal RNA", at positions 28 to 523 of the family's 1533-position model. The record is from RNAcentral.